CGAUAUGGGCGCAGCCUGAUCCAGCCAUGCCGCGUGUGUGAAGAAGGCCUUAUGGUUGUAAAGCACUUUAAGCGAGGAGGAGGCUACUUUAGUUAAUACCUAGAGAUAGUGGACGUUACUCGCAGAAUAAGCACCGGCUAACUCUGUGCCAGCAGCCGCGGUAAUAA
This 167-nucleotide ribosomal RNA is filed under the name uncultured Acinetobacter sp. RNAcentral's name for it is "partial 16S ribosomal RNA". It matches the Rfam family "Bacterial small subunit ribosomal RNA", at positions 367 to 526 of the family's 1533-position model. The record is from RNAcentral. Lineage: Bacteria; Pseudomonadati; Pseudomonadota; Gammaproteobacteria; Moraxellales; Moraxellaceae.